RNAcentral lists this ribosomal RNA (433 nucleotides) under uncultured bacterium. RNAcentral's name for it is "partial 16S ribosomal RNA". It matches the Rfam family "Bacterial small subunit ribosomal RNA", at positions 28 to 507 of the family's 1533-position model. The record is from RNAcentral.
GACGAACGCUGGCGGCAUGCCUAACACAUGCAAGUCGAACGAGACCUUCGGGUCUAGUGGCGCACGUGUGCGUGACGCGGGGGAACCUGCCCUUAGGUACGGAAUAACUCACCGAAAGGGGUGCUAAUACCAGAUAAUCUCUUCGGACCAAAGAUUUAUCGCCUUUGGGUGGGGGCGCGUUGGUUUAGGUGGUUGGUAGGGUAAAAGCCGAGCAAGGCGACGUUCCAUGGCUGGUCUGUGAGGAUGAUCAGCCACACUGGGACUGAGACACGGCCUAGAAUCCGACGGGAGGGAGCAGAGGGGAAUAUUGGACGAGGGGCGCAAGCGUGAUACAGCAGCGCGGCGUAUGACAUGAUGCGCUUAGUGUUGUAAAGCUCUUUUACCCGAGGCGUUAAUGACAGUACCGGGUGAAUAAGCACCGGCUAACUCCGUG